UACGUAUGGGGCGAGCGUUGUUCGGAAUUAUUGGGCGUAAAGGGCUCGCAGGUGGUUUGUUAAGUUGGCGGUUUAAUCUCAGGGCUCAACCCUGAAUCGGCCAUCAAAACUGACGAACUUGAGUAUGAGAGGGGAUAGCGGAAUUCUCGGUGUAGCGGUGGAAUGCGUAGAUAUCGAGAGGAACACCAAUGGCGAAGGCAGCUAUCUGGCUCGUAACUGACACUCAUGAGCGAAAGUGCGGGGAGCAAACAGG
Molecule: ribosomal RNA, 253 nt
Filed under: uncultured bacterium
Lineage: Bacteria
Description: partial 16S ribosomal RNA
Rfam family: Bacterial small subunit ribosomal RNA
Source: RNAcentral